GAGUGAGGAGGCCGCCGGAGUCCCUAGACUGCGAGCGCGCGCGCCACCUCCCCCGCCGCGUCACGGCUCCCAGGCCCGCCCUCCUCUGGUCCCUCCUCCUGGCUCUGUUCCCCCCUCCUCUCACCCUCCCCCUCCGACAGAGCGGUGACUUAAGCAACGGAGCGCGGUGAAGCCCAUUUUUCUCCUUCCUCGCAGCCGCGCCGGGCAGCCCGCGGCGCGCGGCCCCUACACUCUAGCCCGAGAUGAAUGCUGCGGCAGAAGCCGAGUUCAACAUCCUCCUGGCCACCGACUCGUACAAGGUUACUCACUAUAAACAAUACCCACCCAACACAAGCAAAGUUUAUUCCUACUUUGAAUGCCGUGAAAAGAAGACAGAAAACUCCAAAAUAAGGAAGGUGAAAUAUGAGGAAACAGUAUUUUAUGGGUUGCAGUACAUUCUUAAUAAGUACUUAAAAGGUCUUCAUUGCUGCACCCGGGCUUUCUCUAGUUGCGGUAAAGUAGUGACCAAAGAGAAGAUCCAGGAAGCCAAAGAGGUGUACAAAGAGCAUUUCCAAGACGAUGUCUUUAAUGAAAAGGGAUGGAACUACAUUCUUGAGAAAUAUGAUGGGCAUCUUCCAAUAGAAGUAAAAGCUGUUCCUGAGGGCUAUGUCAUUCCCAGAGGAAAUGUUCUCUUCACAGUGGAAAACACAGAUCCAGAGUGUUACUGGCUUACAAAUUGGAUUGAGACUAUUCUUGUUCAGUCCUGGUAUCCAAUCACAGUGGCCACAAAUUCUAGAGAGCAGAAGAAAAUACUGGCCAAAUAUUUGUUAGAAACGUCUGGUAACUUAGAUGGUCUGGAGUACAAGUUACAUGAUUUUGGCUACAGAGGAGUCUCUUCCCAAGAGACUGCUGGCAUAGGAGCAUCUGCUCAUUUGGUUAACUUCAAAGGAACAGAUACAGUAGCAGGAAUUGCUUUAAUUAAAAAAUACUAUGGAACGAAAGAUCCUGUUCCAGGCUAUUCUGUUCCAGCGGCAGAACACAGUACCAUAACAGCUUGGGGGAAGGACCAUGAAAAAGAUGCUUUUGAACAUAUAGUAACACAAUUUUCAUCAGUGCCUGUAUCUGUGGUCAGCGAUAGCUAUGACAUUUAUAAUGCGUGUGAGAAAAUCUGGGGUGAAGAUCUAAGACAUUUAAUAGUAUCAAGAAGUACAGAGGCACCACUAAUAAUCAGACCUGAUUCUGGAAAUCCUCUUGACACUGUAUUAAAGGUUUUGGAUAUUUUAGGUAAGAAGUUCCCUGUUACUGAGAACUCAAAGGGCUACAAGUUGCUGCCACCUUAUCUUAGAGUUAUUCAAGGGGAUGGAGUAGAUAUUAAUACCUUACAAGAGAUUGUGGAAGGCAUGAAGCAAAAAAAAUGGAGUAUAGAAAAUGUUGCCUUCGGUUCUGGUGGAGCUUUGCUACAGAAGUUAACAAGAGAUCUCCUGAAUUGUUCCUUUAAAUGUAGUUAUGUUGUAACCAAUGGCCUUGGGAUUAAUGUCUUCAAGGACCCGGUUGCUGAUCCCAACAAAAGGUCCAAAAAAGGCCGAUUAUCUUUACAUAGGACACCAGCAGGGAAUUUUGUUACACUUGAGGAAGGAAAAGGAGACCUUGAAGAAUAUGGUCAUGAUCUUCUCCAUACUGUCUUCAAGAAUGGGAAGGUGACAAAAAGCUAUUCAUUUGAUGAAGUAAGAAAAAAUGCACAGCUGAAUAUCGAACUGGAAGCAACACCUCAUUAGGCUUUGUUUUAUGACUGGGUAUUCUUCCAGUUCAAAGAAUUAGAGCAUGAAAGAGGGAGAAACAUCUAGGAUGCCUCUUACUUUCUGCCUUGUGCACUCUAUGGCAGUGCCUUUUACUAAGGACACUGGAGGAAGAUCAGAUUUGGGGGCAAAGAGCACAAUUCCUCAGGUACUGCUUUAUCUCUGAGAAGGACCCAGGAAAAAGGGAGAAGUGGAAGACCAGAGAGUCAAAGGAAUCCGCAUGGUCUCCCUAAGUAGCCUGAACUCUGAGCCUGGGAAAAAAACAACUCUUAUCUUCAACCUCUCCCAUUCUAGUCCUUCCUCCUCAGCCAACAAACAUGUUUCUGUUUCUCCAGUCCUUAAAAAAAAAAAAAGUCACUCCCUUGAUAGCACCAGCUUAAGUCGCCCUUCUCCCUUUCAUAUCCGAACUCUGUGUACACUUCCUCUCCAUUUACUGCCUCACUUGCUGUUCAUCUCCCAUCUGGUUCUCAUCUCUCAUUAAACAAAACAGAGGCCUCUUGAUUGUCAAACGAAUAUGUUUAGUUCUUAUCUUACCGGAGGACCUCCCCUGUAUUUGCCACUGUUAGUAAUUCAGUCCUUGAAACUGCUUCAUCUUGUGCUGGAACAGCUCGCGUGCCUUCUCUCUCUGGGGCUCUUCUUCACACACUUACCUUUUCAAUUUUGGUAUGUCCUACUUAGCGCCAUACUUAUCUCAGCUGAUCUCAGCCAUUCGCAUGCUCUCAGCAACCACCUGUUUACUCAAGCCUCCACGCAUUUCUCUCUCUAGCCCAGACUCUUCUACCUGUGAUGCAUUUCCACCCAGAUACCUACUCACAUACGACAAGGCCAAACUUAUCAUAUUCCUCCUGAUUCUCUACCUCAUUUGGGAGUUCAGCCAACCGCCCAAGCCAGAGUUCCCUCUUCAUUACCCUACACAUGUCCUCAAUUACACAUUCCUAUUGAUUUACCUACUAAAUAAUGUUAAUCUAUCUUCUCUCCCACUCCCACUUUAGGCGCACAAAUCUCUUCCUGAAACAAUACAAAAAAUAUCUAACCAGACUUUCCAUCCUUAGCCCCCUCCCCAUCCUGCUGUGUACUACCAAAAUCGAAUCAUUUCAGUCCCCUGCUUAAAGCAUUUGGUGUUGUCUUUAGCCCACAAAAAUGCUCAGAAUCCAAACUAACCCACAAAACCCUCCCUAAUCUGGCCCCUGCCACACACGCAGCCUCAUGUCUUGCCCUCUGUUUUCUGUGCCAGCAUCACCUACUUGCUCUGCCUACACACACUCCUGCAAUGUGCACACACAUCGCACCAUUUCCCUGCUCCUCUCCUUACUUAUGCUGCCUUUGGCUAAGUCAUUUUAGGUGUUAGGUGGUAACACCCCAAGAAUCAUGCAACAACUCGCUCAUCUGCCAUCCCCACCCCACAUGCCCGUCCUCUGGCCUCCAUAGGUACUGAGUAUAUUUCUAAAACAGCUCUUACAAUCCAUGGUUCUGGGUCCUGCAUGAGGCAAUAUAGAAUGGUGUUUUAUUCAUCUGUAUCUCCUGCAUUCAGUACAUUUAAAUGUUUGUUGAAUAAAUGUCAUUAAGAUGAACACUUUUCCACAGUGUUUUGGUACCCUUUGUAGUACCCUGAACACUUUAAUAAGUGUUAAAAAACAAAAAACAAAC
This is a non-coding RNA of Kogia breviceps (pygmy sperm whale), 3422 nucleotides long. Lineage: Eukaryota; Metazoa; Chordata; Mammalia; Artiodactyla; Physeteridae. The record is from RefSeq and is a predicted model, not a curated record.